This 398-nucleotide transfer-messenger RNA is filed under the name Flavobacteriaceae. RNAcentral's name for it is "Flavobacterium pelagicum Standard tmRNA". It matches the Rfam family "transfer-messenger RNA". From Rfam's summary of the family: Bacterial tmRNA, also known as 10Sa RNA or SsrA, is named for its dual tRNA and mRNA-like properties. Its role is to liberate the mRNA from a stalled ribosome. To accomplish this part of the tmRNA is used as a reading frame that ends in a translation stop signal. Lineage: Bacteria; Pseudomonadati; Bacteroidota; Flavobacteriia; Flavobacteriales. The record is from RNAcentral. RNAcentral also lists the same sequence under 1 other name.
GGGGUCGAUCGGUAUUGACAGCGAGUGGAAUUAGUUAGUAAGCACGUCGAGCGUUGUUAUGUAGCUCGUAAAUAUCAUGUAACGACUUUUUUAAACGGCGAAGAAAACUACGCUUUAGCUGCAUAAUCUGAAUUAUAGUAAGAUUGCCUUUAGUUUCCACCAGGUGGAAGAGCUGAAUUCUCCUUAAGAGCCUUGGUUUGUGGCGCUUUGUUUAGGGGAACCGUAAAAUAGACCUAGAAGUAUUGAUAUCUCUAAGAUACUUCGAAAUUUUAGAGGUUAAGCUAAGAGUGGUUGUUUUUUGCCAAGCUCUUAGUCGAAAAUUUAAAAAGAAACUAAACGUGUAGAAAGCUUUCUGAUUGCUUGUUUGGACCCGAGUUCGAUUCUCGGCGACUCCACAG